CUGUUUUCUUUUUUUUUUUUUUUUCAAAACUCCCUUUCGCCAAAAUCCCCAAAACCCUAUAAACCCUAAUUUGCAUCUUCAUUCUCCAUCUUCACUCUGCAUCCUCUAACCUAACCUAAUGAUGAAAUCACUAAUCUUUUCAACACGAUCACCCUCAAUCUUAUCCCCAAAUCUUGUAUUUAAUCCCUAUAACUCGUUAUCCUCCGUUUACAAUUUCGUAUCUGUUAAAAACCCUAAUUUCCUCCGUGGAUUACGCUCUCGUAGACCAUCUGCAUCUUCGUUUUGUUGCUAUUCUUCAAGCACAGAUGUGAAGGGCCGGUGUUACCAACCGGAGGGUGAAGUUCACGUGAUUGUGGGGCCUAUGUUUGCCGGAAAAACCACUACUUUGCUGAGACGGAUUAAGUCUGAAAGCUCCAAUGGCAGAUUUCAGGCUAGGGUCCCGAAUGUUGUCGUUAGCACGGAUGCGACAUUGAAGAACCUAUGUUUUUCCGGAAGACUGAUCGACGCAAUUCGAUUACUAUGUCAAACCGGACGCCAGGUGGGCCCAGAGACGUAUUCUCUUCUUUUGCAAGAUUGCAUAUUCAAAAAAAAUUAUCAUCUCGGCCGAAGAAUUCAUUCACAAAUGGUCACGACUGGGUUCGUUCCCAACACGUAUUUGAACAUCAAGCUGUUAAUAUUGUACGCAAAGUCCGGAGAUCUGGUUACCGCUCAUAUUAUUUUCGAUACAUUAAUCACGCCCAACGUGAUUUCGUGGAACGCGAUGAUUGCGGGAUACGUGCAAAAGGGUCUCCAAGAAACGGGAUUAAAUCUUUACGAUGAAAUGAGACGAAGCGGUUUAACGCCCGACCAGUUCACUUUCGCGUCGGUUUUCAGGGCGUGUGCCACUCUGGCGAUGUUAGAGAAGGGUAAACAAGCACAUGCGGUUUUGAUUAAAAACCAUAUAUGCGGUAACGUUGUUGUGAAUAGUGCGCUUAUUGAUAUGUAUUUCAAAUGUAGCUGUGCGUAUGACGGGCAUCGAGUAUUUAAUAAGUCAUCCGAUAAAAAUGUCAUUACAUGGACUUCUUUAAUAUCCGGAUAUGGUCAGCAUGGGAGAGUCAAAGAGGUAUUGGAAUGUUUCGAUAGGAUGAUAGACGAAGGAUUUAGACCGAACAAUGUUACGUUUCUUGCGGUUCUUUCCGCUUGUAGUCACGGAGGUUUGGUUAACGAGGGCCGGGAUUACUUUCAUUCAAUGAAAAACGAUUACGGGAUUCAGCCCGGAGAAAAACAUUACGCAGCAAUGGUGGACAUUCUAGGACGUUCGGGAAAGUUAGACGAAGCUUACGAGUUUGUGAAAAACGCACCGUGUAAACGACAUCCGGUGAUAUGGGGCGCGCUUCUUCAGGCAUGUAAGGUUUACGGAAACAUGGAAAUGAUGAAAAUUGCUGCGAAAAAUUACUUUGAACUGGAAACGGAUAAUGUUGGUAAGUAUGUCGUUUUAUCGAAUGCGUUUGCAACUUUUGAUCAGUGGAGUAACGUUGCGGAGAUUAGAAGCGGGUUAAAGGAACUCGGGAUGAAAAAGGAGCCCGGUUAUAGUAUGAUUGAGGUGCAAAAAAAGGUUCAUUUUUUCUUUAUGGGACACAACAUGCAUGAACAAACGCAACAAAUAUAUGAGUUGAUCAAGGAUAUGAAUUGCGUUUUAAAAAACGCAGGCUAUUUUCCGGAUUUCAUCUGUACUAGCGUUGAUUAAUGUAUGAGGGACGUGCUCAUCUUUAAUGUGGGUAUGAUAAAUGAUGAUGGAUUUGAUGUUAAAAUGUAGUAGGUACGAGGUGGUAUUACCAGAGAAUUGAUACCACAUAAAAGAAAUGUAGCUGUUAUUAAAUCCAGCAAGGAUACAAGAUAUGCAUUGGAUUCCAUUGUGACGCAUGAUGGAGAGAAGUUACCAUGUUGGCCACUGACUGCUUUAUCAUCAUUCAAAGAAAGAAUCGGUCUUGAAGCG
This is an RNA transcript of Helianthus annuus (common sunflower), 1975 nucleotides long. It is a transcript of the gene named thymidine kinase a, with no coding region annotated. NCBI's taxonomy places the organism in Eukaryota, Viridiplantae, Streptophyta, Magnoliopsida, Asterales, Asteraceae. The transcript is spliced from 3 exons. The record is from RefSeq and is a predicted model, not a curated record.